AUCCAGUUGACGAGUCCCAAAUAGGACGAACGGAGUGUCCUUGAU
RNAcentral lists this non-coding RNA (45 nucleotides) under Schistosoma haematobium. The record is from RNAcentral. Lineage: Eukaryota; Metazoa; Platyhelminthes; Trematoda; Strigeidida; Schistosomatidae.